RNAcentral lists this ribosomal RNA (401 nucleotides) under uncultured bacterium. Its description in RNAcentral is "partial 16S ribosomal RNA". It matches the Rfam family "Bacterial small subunit ribosomal RNA", at positions 355 to 774 of the family's 1533-position model. The record is from RNAcentral.
UGGGGAAUCUUGCGCAAUGGGCGAAAGCCUGACGCAGCCAUGCCGCGUGAAUGAUGAAGGUCUUAGGAUUGUAAAAUUCUUUCACCGGGGACGAUAAUGACGGUACCCGGAGAAGAAGCCCCGGCUAACUUCGUGCCAGCAGCCGCGGUAAUACGAAGGGGGCUAGCGUUGCUCGGAAUUACUGGGCGUAAAGGGAGCGUAGGCGGACUGUUAAGUUAGAGGUGAAAGCCCAGGGCUCAACCUUGGAAUUGCCUUUGAUACUGGCAGUCUGAGUACGGAAGAGGUAUGUGGAACUCCGAGUGUAGAGGUGAAAUUCGUAGAUAUUCGGAAGAACACCAGUGGCGAAGGCGACAUACUGGUCCGUUACUGACGCUGAGGCUCGAAAGCGUGGGGAGCAAACA